RNAcentral lists this ribosomal RNA (491 nucleotides) under uncultured bacterium. RNAcentral describes it as "bacterial SSU rRNA". It matches the Rfam family "Bacterial small subunit ribosomal RNA", at positions 28 to 506 of the family's 1533-position model. The record is from RNAcentral.
GAUGAACGCUAGCGGCAGGCUUAACACAUGCAAGUCGAGGGGCAGCAUGAGACGGAGAUUCGUCAAAGUCUUGAUGGCGACCGGCGCAAGGGUGCGUAACGCGUGAGCGACUUGCCCGUUUCUGGGGAAUAACCGGUGGAAACGCCGACUAAUACCCCAUGGUAUUGACUUUGGGCAUCCUUAGUCAAUUAAAGAAUUUCGGAAACGGAUAGGCUCGCGUGACAUUAGCUGGAUGGCGGGGUAACGGCCCACCAUGGCAACGAUGUCUAGGGGUUCUGAGAGGAAGGUCCCCCACACUGGAACUGAGACACGGUCCAGACUCCUACGGGAGGCAGCAGUGAGGAAUAUUGGUCAAUGGUCUGACGACUGAACCAGCCAUGCCGCGUGAAGGUCACGGCCCUAUGGGUCUUAAACUUCUUUUGUAAGGGAGCAAUAAGUCUCACGUGUGGGAUGAUGAGAGUACCUUACGAAUAAGCAUCGGCUAACUCCGU